This 212-nucleotide long non-coding RNA is filed under the name Ovis aries (sheep). RNAcentral's name for it is "lncRNA (ENSOARG00000026935.1)". The record is from RNAcentral. Lineage: Eukaryota; Metazoa; Chordata; Mammalia; Artiodactyla; Bovidae.
GAUUGGGUUGGAAGGAGGGGGGGGGAGGGGGGAGGGAGCCGAGGCGCACAGCUUGGCUCUGCACUGCCGUGUGACUAGAAAUUGUAAUCGCGGAGAAAGCGAGCGAGGGACAGACGGAGCCCGGCCGAGGGAGACCGAGACGGACGGACCGACGGACAGAGAAUCUGACCGAGACGCGCUCCCCGACCGACCUAUGAGCGGGUGAUGGGGGA